RNAcentral lists this transfer RNA (69 nucleotides) under Falcunculus frontatus (Eastern shriketit). RNAcentral's name for it is "tRNA-Ala". It matches the Rfam family "tRNA". From Rfam's summary of the family: Transfer RNA (tRNA) molecules are approximately 80 nucleotides in length. Their secondary structure includes four short double-helical elements and three loops (D, anti-codon, and T loops). The record is from RNAcentral. Lineage: Eukaryota; Metazoa; Chordata; Aves; Passeriformes.
AAAGUUCUAGCUUAAUUAAAGCACCUGAUUUGCAUUUAGGAGAUGCAGGGUAGCAUCCUGCGAAUUUUA